AAAUAAGGUGAAUAUAAAGUUGAAAAUAUGUACAUACAUACAAAGAAAUAAAGUAUCAAACGAAAUUAAAGUGAAGCAUUUGUCGAAAAAAGGCGGCGAUGCAGAAGUAAAAGAAUAAGCAAAGGCAGUAUAAUCGAAGUAAAGUGAAAGAAAGUAACUCGGAGACUAGUGUUUGGGUGGCAAACGUGGAAAAAAACAACAACAACAAUAGCAAAGCAGAAGCAGAAAAUGCAAGUGUGGCGAAGUGGAAAUGUAGGUACAUACAUGCAUACAUACAUAUGUACAUAUGUAGCUGGCAUUUAUUUGUAUGAUGAGCAACAGCGUUGAUGCGCUCUGGAAUUGUUACAAAUUAAUUUAAAUGGAGUAGAGGUAGUCGAUAAAUGUAGUGAAAACAAAACGCGUAGAAAAUUGCUUGCAAUGCAAUAAAAUACAAAAGUGUGCGAAGAAAAUACAUUUGAAACAGUGAAAUGGAUUUAGUGUGAAUGGAACGAAGAAAAUUAAUAAGACCGAAGUGAAAAAAGUGAAAUUGUAAAACAAAAAAAAAUAAUAAUAAUAAUACGUAAUUGUUUAAUUGAAAUUAAUUGAUACGCGAAUUGAAAACUAUUAGUGCAACAGCCAUUAUAAACGAGUUAGUUGAAUAUUCAAAUCGAAAAGCAAUUCUCAACGCUUUUAGUGAAUUAUAUUAAAUGCAAAAGUAUUCCAUGAUUCGCUUAAACCUGAAAAAAAUUCAAUGCAACUCAAAAAAAAA
This is a long non-coding RNA of Rhagoletis pomonella (apple maggot), 748 nucleotides long. RefSeq lists it as uncharacterized. The record is from RefSeq and is a predicted model, not a curated record. Lineage: Eukaryota; Metazoa; Arthropoda; Insecta; Diptera; Tephritidae. The transcript has 2 exons.